Molecule: long non-coding RNA, 835 nt
Organism: Pan troglodytes (chimpanzee)
Lineage: Eukaryota; Metazoa; Chordata; Mammalia; Primates; Hominidae
Exons: 3
Source: RefSeq, a predicted model, not a curated record
AAUCAGUGAUUCCCCUAGGGGACUCCCUGCUUUGGCUGCAGAACAACCUGGAAUGGCUGUUCCCAUUGAAACCAAAGGAAGAGGGAAGGCCCUGAUCCUAAGCUCGGCAGCCCCGCCCAGCCUCAGCCAGCAGAGCCUUCGUUUUGUCGUCUGAAAACUGGGGGAAGAGUAUCUCCCUCAAGGGAGGGCCGGAUGAGCUGAAGAGCACCGGAUGCAAGUGCAUAGUCGGGUUCAGCAGGUUUCUUUCUUUGCCUGUGCCUCCCAGAUGAUGGAGAGUGUGGGCAUGUGUUGGGAGAUGGGACAUAGGGAUGGUGGGGACAGCUCUCAGAUGGUGAAAUGGGGCUUCUGUGAACACCAGUCCACAUCCCCAUUCUGCCCAAGGAUAAUCUGUUGCUUCUUCCCCUCCCUCCUACCCAUCAUGAAGCCCCUCAUCUGCCCACCCAUCUGUCCAUCCGUCCACCCAACUAUCCACCUACCCAUCCAUCCGUCCAUCCAUCCAUCCAUUCACCCACCUACCCAUCCACCCAUUCAUUUGUCCAUCUGUCCAUUCGUCCACCUACCCAUCCAUUCAUUCAUCUGUCCAUCCAUCCAUCUACCCAUCCAUCCAUCCAUCCUUCCAAGACAGCUCUCUGCCCCUCCAAGCUCUGCACAGAAGUCUCCAGAAGCCACAGCAUUGACCAGUAGUUGUGAGCUGAGAUGCCUUCAGGGGCCAGGCAGGGUUUCGCUCUUGUUGCCCAGGCUGGAGUGCAAUUGCGUGAUCUGGACUCACUGCAACCUCCGUCUCCCGAGUUCAAGCGAUUCUCCUGCCUCAGAUUCCGAGUAGCUGGGAUUACAG